RNAcentral lists this non-coding RNA (28 nucleotides) under Cricetulus griseus (Chinese hamster). Lineage: Eukaryota; Metazoa; Chordata; Mammalia; Rodentia; Cricetidae. The record is from RNAcentral.
CUCAGGUGGUCAAGCUUUGUUGCAAGUG